This 469-nucleotide long non-coding RNA is filed under the name Homo sapiens (human). Its description in RNAcentral is "HSALNT0040240". Lineage: Eukaryota; Metazoa; Chordata; Mammalia; Primates; Hominidae. The record is from RNAcentral.
AAAGAACGCAAAAUAAAUAAAUUUUAAAAAUGAAAUAAAAAAACAAAAAGCCAAGCACAUGUGCCCUAAUGGGAGGUGCCCUGGAGACCCCGGCCUUCUCUCCGGGCUCCCUGUUGGUGGACUUACCUGUCUGCAUCAAAAGAAGAGAUGGCAGUGGCAUAGUUGAGGUUGUAGGCGAGGACAGUGGUGUAGUGAUUGAACCCAAAAAAGUCAUAGGUGCCGUUGAUCCUCCUCUUCUCACUCUCUGUAAAUUCUGGCAGCCUGGGUGGAAGAAGCCAUUGAGGGCAGGGCUUCAGGGAGAGCCAUGCUUUGAGAAGAGAACGUCAUAGGGCUGGGGCGGGGGAGCUCUCCGAACCCCAGGCACUUGGCAGUGAGUAGGGGAAACUGGCAGGGAAGGAGAAGAGGUCCUUCAGGCGGUGCAGGAAGCACUGCGGCUCCUCCAGCCAGACCAUAAACCUGGCUUCCCUAG